This 73-nucleotide transfer RNA is filed under the name Bos taurus (domestic cattle). It matches the Rfam family "tRNA". From Rfam's summary of the family: Transfer RNA (tRNA) molecules are approximately 80 nucleotides in length. Lineage: Eukaryota; Metazoa; Chordata; Mammalia; Artiodactyla; Bovidae. The record is from Rfam by way of RNAcentral. RNAcentral also lists the same sequence under 1 other name.
UCCCUGGUGGCUUAGGUGGUAAAAGUGUCUGCCUAUGAUGCGGGAGACCCGGGUUCGAUCCCUGGGUUGGGAA